GAUGAACGCUGGCGGCGUGCCUAACACAUGCAAGUCGAACGGAGAUUACGGACGGAAGUUUUCUGAUGGAAGACUGUAAUUCUUAGUGGCGGACGGGUGAGUAACGCGUGGGCAACCUGCCCUAUACAGGGGGAUAGCAGCUGGAAACGGCUGGUAAGACCGCAUAAGUCGGCGAGACCGCGUGGUUUUGCCGGGAAAUGAGCAAUCAGGUAUAGGAUGGGCCCGCGUCCGAUUAGCCAGUUGGCAGGGUAAAAGCCUACCAAAGCAACGAUCGGUAGCCGGACUGAGAGGUCGGACGGCCACAUUGGGACUGAGACACGGCCCAAACUCCUACGGGAGGCAGCAGUGGGGGAUAUUGCACAAUGGAGGAAACUCUGAUGCAGCGACGCCGCGUGAGUGAAGAAGUAUUUCGGUAUGUAAAGCUCUAUCAGCAGGGAAGAUGAUGACGGUACCUGACUAAGAAGCCCCGGCUAACUACGUG
This 481-nucleotide ribosomal RNA is filed under the name uncultured bacterium. Its description in RNAcentral is "partial 16S ribosomal RNA". It matches the Rfam family "Bacterial small subunit ribosomal RNA", at positions 28 to 507 of the family's 1533-position model. The record is from RNAcentral.